CAGAGGGUGCAAGCGUUAAUCGGAAUUACUGGGCGUAAAGCGUGCGUAGUCGGUUAUCUAAGUCGGGUGUGAAAUCCCCGGGCUCAACCUGGGAAUUGCAUUCGAUACUGGAUAGCUAGAGUUCGGCAGAGGGAAGCGGAAUUUCGGGUGUAGCGGCGAAAUGCGUAGAUAUCCGAAGGAACAUCAGUGGCGAAAGCGGCUUCCUGGACCAGAACUGACGAUCAGGCACGAAAGCGUGGGGAGCAAACAGGAUUAGAUACCCUGGUAGUCCACGCCAUAAACGAUGACAACUAGACGUUGGGAGGGUAAGCCUCACAGUGUCGCAGCUAACGCGUUAAGUUGUCCGCCUGGGGAGUACGGCCGCAAGGUUG
Molecule: ribosomal RNA, 371 nt
Filed under: uncultured organism
Description: bacterial SSU rRNA
Rfam family: Bacterial small subunit ribosomal RNA
Source: RNAcentral